This is a long non-coding RNA of Galeopterus variegatus (Sunda flying lemur), 405 nucleotides long. RefSeq lists it as uncharacterized. The record is from RefSeq and is a predicted model, not a curated record. The transcript is spliced from 2 exons. NCBI's taxonomy places the organism in Eukaryota, Metazoa, Chordata, Mammalia, Dermoptera, Cynocephalidae.
AUCGUCGCUCAGUCCAUAGGGAAGCCCAGGCCUGGCCCCCAGAGAGUCUCCUGGUGAGGCAGACAUGAGAAGAGACAUCAGCAUGAGGGAUCGAGGCCUCCCCUCCAGUGACUCCAGAAAACUCAACAUGAAUUGUCUACCUCAAAGCCUGGACUAACCCAGUGAUGGUAGAGUUGAGCUGUACUUAGUUCCACUGAAUGGAAAAGGAUCAAGGGCUCACAAUGGACCACAGAUUGAAAUGAAUCAAUAAUGUUAUUCUUGGGAUAAGAAAGUAAAAAUACAAAAGGCAGAGAGGCCUGAGACCUUUUUCUAUGGUUUGUAUUAGUAAGACCCCUUUUAGUAUGGAGCUGAUUAUAAAAUAAAACCUGUCUCAAGAGUGAGACAGAAUUUGGAGGGAAGUGGAAA